RNAcentral lists this transfer RNA (71 nucleotides) under Fossa fossana (Malagasy civet). RNAcentral describes it as "tRNA-Phe". It matches the Rfam family "tRNA". From Rfam's summary of the family: Transfer RNA (tRNA) molecules are approximately 80 nucleotides in length. Their secondary structure includes four short double-helical elements and three loops (D, anti-codon, and T loops). The record is from RNAcentral. Lineage: Eukaryota; Metazoa; Chordata; Mammalia; Carnivora; Eupleridae.
GUUAAUGUAGCUUAAAGACACUAAAGCAAGGCACUGAAAAUGCCUAGAUGAGUCAUCAGACUCCAUAAACA